GUGGGGAAUAUUGGACAAUGGGGGGAACCCUGAUCCAGCCAUGCCGCGUGUGUGAAGAAGGCCUUUUGGUUGUAAAGCACUUUAAGCGAGGAGGAGGCUACCGAGAUUAAUACUCUUGGAUAGUGGACGUUACUCGCAGAAUAAGCACCGGCUAACUCUGUGCCAGCAGCCGCGGUAAUACAGAGGGUGCAAGCGUUAAUCGGAUUUACUGGGCGUAAAGCGCGCGUAGGUGGCCAAUUAAGUCAAAUGUGAAAUCCCCGAGCUUAACUUGGGAAUUGCAUUCGAUACUGGUUGGCUAGAGUAUGGGAGAGGAUGGUAGAAUGCCAGGUGUAGCGGUGAAAUGCGUAGAGAUCUGGAGGAAUACCGAUGGCGAAGGCAGCCAUCUGGCCUAAUACUGACACUGAGGUGCGAAAGCAUGGGGAGCAAACAGGAUUAGAAACCCGUGUAGUCC
This 451-nucleotide ribosomal RNA is filed under the name uncultured bacterium. RNAcentral describes it as "bacterial SSU rRNA". It matches the Rfam family "Bacterial small subunit ribosomal RNA", at positions 354 to 796 of the family's 1533-position model. The record is from RNAcentral.